RNAcentral lists this ribosomal RNA (352 nucleotides) under uncultured bacterium. RNAcentral's name for it is "bacterial SSU rRNA". It matches the Rfam family "Bacterial small subunit ribosomal RNA", at positions 917 to 1269 of the family's 1533-position model. The record is from RNAcentral.
GGGCCCGCACAAGCGGUGGAGCAUGUGGUUUAAUUCGAUGAUACGCGAGGAACCUUACCAGGGCUUAAAUGUAAGUUGCAUAAGUUAGAGAUAGCUUUUUCUUCGGACUACUUACAAGGUGCUGCAUGGUUGUCGUCAGCUCGUGCCGUGAGGUGUCAGGUUAAGUCCUAUAACGAGCGCAACCCCUGUUGUUAGUUGCCAUCGAGUAAUGUCGGGAACUCUAACAAGACUGCCGGUGCAAACCGUGAGGAAGGUGGGGAUGACGUCAAAUCAUCACGGCCCUUACGUCCUGGCUACACACGUGCUACGAAUCGGCCAGGUACAGAGAGCAGCCACUACGCAAGGUGGAGCG